UUCAGGUCUGAGAAGUAGCCUAGACUAUUGAC
RNAcentral lists this non-coding RNA (32 nucleotides) under Homo sapiens (human). Lineage: Eukaryota; Metazoa; Chordata; Mammalia; Primates; Hominidae. The record is from RNAcentral.